UACGUAGGGUGCGAGCGUUAAUCGGAAUUACUGGGCGUAAAGCGUGCGCAGGCGGUUCGCCAAGUCAGGUGUGAAAGCCCCGGGCUUAACCUGGGAAUGGCAUUGGAAACUGGCGGGCUGGAGUGUGGCAGAGGGGGGUGGAAUUCCACGUGUAGCAGUGAAAUGCGUAGAGAUGUGGAGGAACACCGAUGGCGAAGGCAGCCCCCUGGGCCAACACUGACGCUCAGGCACGAAAGCGUGGGGAGCAAACAGG
This 253-nucleotide ribosomal RNA is filed under the name uncultured bacterium. Its description in RNAcentral is "partial 16S ribosomal RNA". It matches the Rfam family "Bacterial small subunit ribosomal RNA", at positions 524 to 776 of the family's 1533-position model. The record is from RNAcentral.